This 1436-nucleotide ribosomal RNA is filed under the name uncultured organism. RNAcentral describes it as "SSU rRNA". It matches the Rfam family "Bacterial small subunit ribosomal RNA". The record is from RNAcentral.
UAGGAUGAACGCUAGCUACAGGCUUAACACAUGCAAGUCGAGGGGCAGCAUCAUCAAAGCUUGCUUUGAUGGAUGGCGACCGGCGCACGGGUGAGUAACACGUAUCCAACCUGCCGACAACACUGGGAUAGCCUUUCGAAAGAAAGAUUAAUACCGGAUGGCAUAGUUUUCCCGCAUGGGAUAAUUAUUAAAGAAUUUCGGUUGUCGAUGGGGAUGCGUUCCAUUAGGCAGUUGGCGGGGUAACGGCCCACCAAACCUACGAUGGAUAGGGGUUCUGAGAGGAAGGUCCCCCACAUUGGAACUGAGACACGGUCCAAACUCCUACGGGAGGCAGCAGUGAGGAAUAUUGGUCAAUGGACGAGAGUCUGAACCAGCCAAGUAGCGUGAAGGAUGACUGCCCUAUGGGUUGUAAACUUCUUUUAUACGGGAAUAAAGUGAGCCACGUGUGGCUUUUUGUAUGUACCGUAUGAAUAAGGAUCGGCUAACUCCGUGCCAGCAGCCGCGGUAAUACGGAGGAUUCGAGCGUUAUCCGGAUUUAUUGGGUUUAAAGGGAGCGUAGGCGGGUUGUUAAGUCAGUUGUGAAAGUUUGCGGCUCAACCGUAAAAUUGCAGUUGAUACUGGCGACCUUGAGUGCAACAGAGGUAGGCGGAAUUCGUGGUGUAGCGGUGAAAUGCUUAGAUAUCACGAAGAACUCCGAUUGCGAAGGCAGCUUACUGGAUUGUAACUGACGCUGAUGCUCGAAAGUGUGGGUAUCAAACAGGAUUAGAUACCCUGGUAGUCCACACAGUAAACGAUGAAUACUCGCUGUUGGCGAUAUACAGUCAGCGGCCAAGCGAAAGCAUUAAGUAUUCCACCUGGGGAGUACGCCGGCAACGGUGAAACUCAAAGGAAUUGACGGGGGCCCGCACAAGCGGAGGAACAUGUGGUUUAAUUCGAUGAUACGCGAGGAACCUUACCCGGGCUUAAAUUGCAACUGACGGAACCGGAAACGGUUCUUUCUUCGGACAGUUGUGAAGGUGCUGCAUGGUUGUCGUCAGCUCGUGCCGUGAGGUGUCGGCUUAAGUGCCAUAACGAGCGCAACCCUUACGGGUAGUUACCAUCAGGUUAUGCUGGGGACUCUACCCGGACUGCCGUCGUAAGAUGUGAGGAAGGUGGGGAUGACGUCAAAUCAGCACGGCCCUUACGUCCGGGGCUACACACGUGUUACAAUGGGGGGUACAGAAGGCAGCUACACGGCGACGUGGUGCUAAUCCCAAAAGCCUCUCUCAGUUCGGAUUGGAGUCUGCAACCCGACUCCAUGAAGCUGGAUUCGCUAGUAAUCGCGCAUCAGCCACGGCGCGGUGAAUACGUUCCCGGGCCUUGUACACACCGCCCGUCAAGCCAUGAAAGCCGGGGGUACCUGAAGUACGUAACCGCGAGGAGCGUCCUAGGGUAAA